CUGGUUGCUAUCAUAGCAAAAAGUAGAAUGGAAUUUUAAUGGUACCUGAAAGCUGCUGCCAGAGCCGAAGACAAAUGGCUAAAUUUAUAUUAUAUUUCUCUCAGUCCUCAGCAUGUACAGUCCUGUAUCAGUGAGCGGCCAUUUGGCUGUGACUCACAAUGAGAUGACGAGAUGGUCUAGAGGCAUUACUCCAAAAUACACAAGGAUGGGGACACUGAGUUCUCUCCUGUCUCUUGUCAAGUCAGGAGGAUGUGAAGGCCUGGGAAGGAGCUGGGGAUGGGGAGAAGCUGGGCAGAGACAGAGAGGACUCUCCUUUUCUCAGGGGGCCUUGGAGUCCUUCAAAGAGAAGGGGUGCCUUCCAAGGAGUGAGGUCAACUUCAUUGCCAUAAGCAACACCUCUGCUUUUCCUUCUUUUUGAGAAAGUAAUACACAUUUA
Molecule: long non-coding RNA, 436 nt
Filed under: Rattus norvegicus (Norway rat)
Lineage: Eukaryota; Metazoa; Chordata; Mammalia; Rodentia; Muridae
Description: long non-coding RNA NONRATT004396
Source: RNAcentral